AAAUUGAAGAGUUUGAUCAUGGCUCAGAUUGAACGCUGGCGGCAGGCCUAACACAUGCAAGUCGAACGGUAACAGGAAACAGCUUGCUGUUUCGCUGACGAGUGGCGGACGGGUGAGUAAUGUCUGGGAAACUGCCUGAUGGAGGGGGAUAACUACUGGAAACGGUAGCUAAUACCGCAUAACGUCGCAAGACCAAAGAGGGGGACCUUCGGGCCUCUUGCCAUCGGAUGUGCCCAGAUGGGAUUAGCUAGUAGGUGGGGUAACGGCUCACCUAGGCGACGAUCCCUAGCUGGUCUGAGAGGAUGACCAGCCACACUGGAACUGAGACACGGU
This 333-nucleotide ribosomal RNA is filed under the name Escherichia coli. Its description in RNAcentral is "bacterial SSU rRNA". It matches the Rfam family "Bacterial small subunit ribosomal RNA", at positions 1 to 330 of the family's 1533-position model. RNAcentral also lists the same sequence under 2 other names. Lineage: Bacteria; Pseudomonadati; Pseudomonadota; Gammaproteobacteria; Enterobacterales; Enterobacteriaceae. The record is from RNAcentral.